GUUCAAAAGAUUGAUUUUUGUUGUAAAGAUUACUGUGAUCUCAAACAGGGGAUAUAGUAUAUAACUAAGUAAAGGUUCAAGAUUAUAAAAGUUAUUUUUCUUGGUUCAUAGCUAUUACACAAACUGAAUGUUUAGGCUCUGUUAAUUUCAUUUUGUAUUUUCCUUGUAAACUUUAUAACUGUUGCCUGUUAGUGUUUUGCAGAGGUACUAUAUCUAAAAGGAGAAAAAAAAAUGUAGGUUAAUUUGAGAGAAUAAGCAAUCACCUACAGAUAAAUAGUGUAUAAUGCUGACUUCCAGUACUAAUACUAACCCCAAUUAAAUGAAAGAGGUAACUAUAAAAUUAUAGAUAUUGAAGUUACAACCUGUUACUCCCUCUUUAAGACUGGUGAAACUGGCUUGCUGGAUGUUUAAAACCAAAAACUUGGAGACCAAGCCAAGAAAGUAAAAGGGCCAAGGAAAAAAGGAGGUAAUAUUUGGCUCUUGCCUUCUAAGGUCAGCCAGCACCCAGAGAAUGACAGGACCCUGUAAGGGCUCUGAAACUCCAGUGAGUCACCUGAUCUGCCAGUCAGGGGGAUCAAGAAGACCCUAAAGAACAGAAUGCCAACAGGUGCACAUUCUGUAAAGAGGAGG
RNAcentral lists this long non-coding RNA (630 nucleotides) under Marmota monax (woodchuck). Lineage: Eukaryota; Metazoa; Chordata; Mammalia; Rodentia; Sciuridae. The record is from RNAcentral.